RNAcentral lists this ribosomal RNA (253 nucleotides) under uncultured bacterium. RNAcentral describes it as "partial 16S ribosomal RNA". It matches the Rfam family "Bacterial small subunit ribosomal RNA", at positions 524 to 776 of the family's 1533-position model. The record is from RNAcentral.
UACGUAUGGUGCAAGCGUUAUCCGGAUUUACUGGGUGUAAAGGGAGCGUAGGCGGCGCGUUAAGUCUGAUGUGAAAACCCGAGGCUCAACCACGGGAGUGCAUUGGAAACUGGCGGGCUGGAGUGCCGGAGAGGUAAGCGGAAUUCCUAGUGUAGCGGUGAAAUGCGUAGAUAUUAGGAGGAACACCAGUGGCGAAGGCGGCUUACUGGACGGCAACUGACGCUGAGGCUCGAAAGCGUGGGGAGCAAGCAGG